GCUGCGGUGUCCGAGUGGUUAAGGAGUUUGACUUGAAAUCAAAUGGGUUUCACCCGCACAGGUUCGAAUCCUGUCCGCAGCG
Non-coding RNA from Paramacrobiotus metropolitanus, 82 nucleotides. The record is from the annotation of a RefSeq genome assembly. NCBI's taxonomy places the organism in Eukaryota, Metazoa, Tardigrada, Eutardigrada, Parachela, Macrobiotidae.